This 502-nucleotide ribosomal RNA is filed under the name Staphylococcus aureus. Its description in RNAcentral is "partial 23S ribosomal RNA". It matches the Rfam family "Bacterial large subunit ribosomal RNA", at positions 954 to 1461 of the family's 2925-position model. Lineage: Bacteria; Bacillati; Bacillota; Bacilli; Caryophanales; Staphylococcaceae. The record is from RNAcentral.
CUCCGAAUGCCAAUUAAUUUAACUUGGGAGUCAGAACAUGGGUGAUAAGGUCCGUGUUCGAAAGGGAAACAGCCCAGACCACCAGCUAAGGUCCCAAAAUAUAUGUUAAGUGGAAAAGGAUGUGGCGUUGCCCAGACAACUAGGAUGUUGGCUUAGAAGCAGCCAUCAUUUAAAGAGUGCGUAAUAGCUCACUAGUCGAGUGACACUGCGCCGAAAAUGUACCGGGGCUAAACAUAUUACCGAAGCUGUGGAUUGUCCUUUGGACAAUGGUAGGAGAGCGUUCUAAGGGCGUUGAAGCAUGAUCGUAAGGACAUGUGGAGCGCUUAGAAGUGAGAAUGCCGGUGUGAGUAGCGAAAGACGGGUGAGAAUCCCGUCCACCGAUUGACUAAGGUUUCCAGAGGAAGGCUCGUCCGCUCUGGGUUAGUCGGGUCCUAAGCUGAGGCCGACAGGCGUAGGCGAUGGAUAACAGGUUGAUAUUCCUGUACCACCUAUAAUCGUUUUA